AGAGAGAGAGAGAGGUGCGGUGUCUUGCAAUGUAAAUUUGAUAUACCAUAUUAAGGAAAACGGUGACUGCAGAAGUGUGUGUGUGUGUGUGUGUGUGUGUGUGUGUGUGUGUGUGUGUGUGUGUGCAUUGCGGGCCAACCAGUCUUUCACCCCUUCCCCCCUCCUCACCCCCUCCUCUCACCACUUUCAACCACCCCUAUAUCUUCAUCACACACCUGAACAAUUACUUUAAAAUUCUUCACCUUCUCGCUGGAUCCGCCGUGCCAAACCUUGUCAUGUUCACGUAUACGGUAUAUAUUUUUGAAGCCGUAAAAGCGAGUCGUAUAUCCUCAAAACUUUGCAUAUGUUCUUUUUUUUUCGUUUACGUUUUUCAUAACACCCCAACAUACGUCCUGCCUGCCUAACCUUCUAAUUUUGACACACAUCUAUAAUUUUGAAUUCGUAAAAUCGAUUCGUAUAACCCCAAAUUUUAGCAUGUGUUCUUUGUUAUGUUCUAUCUGCCAAACCUUAUACUUAUGACACGUGUAUGUUUUUUUAGAACCAUGAAAUCGAAUCGUAUAUCUUCAAAACUUAGCAUGUGAUUUUUUUUCUCGUUUUCUUUUGCCGUAACUCUCCCCAACACGUGUCCUACCUGUUAAACCACCUAAUUUUGACAUUAUAUAUUUUUUAAAACCAUGAAAUUGAAUAGUAUAUCUUCAAAACUUAGCAUGUGAUCUUUUUCCUCGUUUUCUUUUGCCGUAACUCUCCCCAACACGUGUCUUAACCUGUUAAACCACCUAAUUUUGACAUGUAUAUAUUUCUUAAAACCAUGAAAUCGAAUCGUAUCUCUUCAAAACUUAGCAUGUGAUCUUUUUAUUCGUUUUCUUUUGCCAUAACUUUCCUUCUUGCCAAACCUUUUCAUACUGACAAGUCUAUAUCUUCUGAAACCGUGAAACCGAUUCGUAUAGCUCUGGGAUCUUUGUAUAUGUGUUCUGAUUCUUUUCCAUUUAACUUUUCUUUCCUCUUUUAUUUGCCUUUAGUUCACCUUUACUUAUGUUCUGCCUUGCUAAUCCUUUUGAUGUGGACUCGAACUCUCUUUAGAAAUGAAGAAAUCGAUUCGUAUAUCUUAAAGAGUUAGCAAGUGAUCUUUUCUUUCUCUUUCUUUUACAAUGCCUCACCCACCCAUAUUUCCUGGCGUGUCAAACCUCCUAAUUCUCACUCGUACAUAAUUUUAGACCGUGAAAUCGAUUCGUAAAGCUCUGGGAACGCAUUAGGACGUGUUUUCUUCUCCUUUUUCAUUUACCAUAUCUCACACAUAUGCUCACUUCCAAACCUUCUAAUGCGACCUCGAACCCUUUUAAGAAAUGGAGAGAUCGAAUCGAAUAGCUUAAAAAUGUAUUAGUAUUUUUUUUACAGCAAAGGAGACAGAUCAAGGGCUUAAAAAAGGAGAAAACUAAUAAAAAAAAAAAGCACGCUACUGACUGCCCCUAAAUAGAUUGGAGUUUUUUUUUUUUUUUUUUUUUUUUUUUUUUUUUUUUAGCUCAUCUUAACGUAUGUUCUCCCAGUAUUCUAAACGUUCUAAUGCUGAUUCGUACAUACUUCUGAAACCGGGAGAUUGAUUCGCAUAGUUUAAGGACCCCCUGUAAUCGCCCCCCUUAAAGCCUAUUGAUUAUAUAUUUCUUAGCGUUCUCUUGUUUUUUUCCGUUGACCAUAUCGUUCGCCCACAUUCACUUCAAGUUUCCAUCGCUGUCUUGCACACUCUUUAAGCACUGAGAGGUCGAUUUGCACAGCUUACGGCGAAUUUGGUUGUGUUUCCCUUUCCUCUUUCACUUAUUUUAUUUUAGUCCACCUACGCGCGGUCAGUCUUCCCCGAACUUUCUUUUGCUGACUUGGCACUCUUUAGGAACCGCUAUAGCCUGCCUAAGACGUAUUGAAAGAUGCUGUACUUUAUUUUCACGUUUUCUUUUGCAACCUUUGGAACUGGUAUAGGUUUUAAGGCUUACUGGAUGGGUCUUUUCUUUAUACAUUUGUUUUCGUAUGCAUCUUUUAGUAACUGGUAUAGGUUUUAAGGCUUAUUGGAUGGUGCUUUUCUUUAUACAUUUGUUUUCGUAUGCAUCUUUUAGUAACUGGUAUAGGUUUUAAGGCUUAUUGGAUGGUGCUUUUCUUUAUACAUUUGUUUUCGUAUGCAUCUUUUAGUAACUGGUAUAGGUUUUAAGGCUUUCUGGAUGGUGCUUUUCUUUAUACAUUUGUUUUCGUAUGCAUCUUUUAGUAACUGGUAUAGGUUUUAAGGCUUACUGGAUGGGUCUUUUCUUUAUACAUUUGUUUUCGUAUGCAUCUUUUAGUAACUGGUAUAGGUUUUAAGGCUUUCUGGAUGGUGCUUUUCUUUAUACAUUUGUUUUCGUAUGCAUCUUUUAGUAACUGGUAUAGGUUUUAAGGCUUUCUGGAUGGUGCUUUUCUUUAUACAUUUGUUUUCGUAUGCAUCUUUUAGUAACUGGUAUAGGUUUUAAGGCUUACUGGGUGGUGCUUUUCUUUAUACAUUUGUUUUCGUAUGCAUCUUUUAGUAACUGGUAUAGGUUUUAAGGCUUAUUAGAUGGGUCUUUAUUUUAUUGCUGUAUCCGCCUUUUGAGAACUGGUAUUGGUUUUAAGACGUAUUGGAUGGUGUUAUUCUGUAUUCUUUUGUUUUCUUAUACACCUUUUAGAAUCUGUUAUAGGUUUCAAGACGUAUUGGUUGGUCCUAUUUUUUAUUAUAUUAUUGUAUGCACCUUUUGAGAACUGAUAUAGGUUUUAAGACGUUUUGGAUGGUGUUGUUCUAUCGUCUUUUGUUUCUUAUACGCCUUUUGAGAACUGGUAUAGAUUUUAAGACGUUUUGGAUGGUGUUAUUCUAUCGUCUUUUGUUUCUUAUACACCUUUUAGUAACUGGUAUAGGUUUUAAGACGUUUUGGAUGGUGUUAUUCUAUCGUCUUUUGUUUUCUGAAUCACCUUUUAAUGACUGAUGUAGAUUUGGAGACGUUUUGAUGGUGUUAUUCUCUAUUAAUUUGUUUUUCGUAUGCACCUUUUAGUAACUGGCAUAACUUUUAAGACGUACUGAAAGGUGGUAUAGUUUCGCUUCUUGUUUUCUUAUCAUAUCUCCAAGAAUAAACCUCAUUCCGUAUCACCGAGAUAAAAUAGUCACCUCGUUCAAGGGAUGGUGAUGGGACUUGAAUGAUCGAGUGGGUCUCCCUGAACUAAGACCGAGAUAAUUCCGUAAAAUCAACGAUAGCGCUUGAUACAUUGCAGUGAUUGAUGUGACUUGCUGACAUAUUAAUGACUCUUGUAUUUAUUUUUAUUUUUUAUUUUUACAACAGAAGGUGCGUAAUAAAAGAUGGAAAGGAUUAGAGCAGGCAGAGGAUAGUUAAAAAAAAAAAAAGGAAAGAAGAUAAUUGGACAAGAGAAGUAAAAUUAGAAGUAUUAAUUGGCGCUGGUGUUUAUUUAUUUUUGUUUCUUUUAUUUUUACAACAUAGAAGGUGGGUAAUAAAAGAUGCAAAGGAGAAUAGCAGGCAGAGGAUAGUUAAAAAAAAAAAAAAAGGAAAGAAGAUAAUUGGAGAAGAGUAGUAAGAUUAGAAGUAUUAAUUGGCGCUGGUGUUUAUUUAUUUUUGUUUCUCUUAUUUUUACAACAGAGAAGGUGCGUAAUAAAGGAUGCAAAGGAUUAGAGCAGGCAUAGGAUAGUUAAAAAAAAAGAAAGGAAAGAAGAUAAUUGGACAAGAGAAGUAAAAUUAGAAGUAUUAAUUGGCGCUGGUGUUUAUUUAUUUUUGUUUCUUUUAUUUUUACAACAGAGAAGGUGGGUAAUAAAAAUGCAGAGGAUAAUAGCAGGUAGAGGAUAGUUAAAAAAAAGUAUGAAAGAAAAACAUUGGACAAGAGAAGUAAAAUUAGAAGUAUUAAUUGGCGGUAGUAUUUAUUUAUUUUUAUUUAUUUUAUUUUUACAACAGAGAAGGUGCGUAAUAAAAGAUGGAAAGGAUUAGAGCAGGCAGAGGAUAGUUAAAAAAAAGAUAUUUUGAAAGGAAGUAAAAUAUAUUGGACGAGAGAAGUAAAAUUAAAAGUACUAAUUGACUCUAGUAUUUAUUUAUUUUUAUUUAUUUUAUUUUUACAACAGAGAAGGUGCGUAAUAAAAGAUGCAGAGGAUAAGAGCAGGUAGAGGAUAGUUAAAAAAAAUAUGAAAGGAAGAGAAAAAUAUUAGACGAGAAAAGUAAAAUUAUAAAUAUUAAUUGGCUUUCGUAUUUAUUUAUUUAUUUAUUUAUUUAUUUAUUUAUUUAUUACAACAGAGAAGGUGCGUAAUAAAAGACACAAAGGAUAAGAGCAGACAGAGAAUAGUUAAAAAAAAAAUAAUCAUGAAGGGAAGAAAAGGAGAAGGAAAGAAGAAAACAUUGGACAAGAAAAGGUAAAAACACACACACACACAAAAAAAGAAACCAAAGAAGAAAACGGGAAGAGAAAACACAGGUAAGAAAGAAAACGAUGUACAAAAAAAACAAAACAAAAAAACGAGAACACGGACACGGCACAGAAAGUAAAGUAAACAAGUAAGCAAAAGUAAAAAAGAAAAUAGAAAACAAAAAAAAGGUAAACAAAAUCUAAGAGGAAGAGGAGGUGUGUGGAAGCCAGCGUAUUGAGUGACUUGAUUCGUAUGGGUGAAAAAACGUGAUGAUAGAUGCUGUCCCUCACACUAACCCGUUAUCGUCCUAUUGAAGCCUCAGGAGGAGGUUUCAAUCUUCUUCACCCGUCCUAAGAGCGAUUCGAAUAAGUUUAAAGCGUGUUAGGGAGGUCACAGUUGUUUUUCUUUCUUUUAUUCCUUGUUUCUCUCUUACUUUCUUUUAUACCGUAUUCCGCUGUCUCUCUCUCUCUCUCUCUCUCUCUCUCUCUCUCUCUCACUUGGUUGUCUUAAUGAUGAUGUAAUCCUCCUCUUCCUCCUCCUCCUCCUCCUCCUCCUCCUCCUCCUCCUCCUCCUGUUUGUCAUUCUCAUCCUCGUUUGUUUCUUUUGACCACCAACUUCGCUUAUUUUUGUUAUUGUUUUUUUUUGUGUUUUUGUUUUUUUAUUUUUUAUUUCUGAACUUGCUGCUGCCGUUUCCAUUCCACGCAUUAUGCUCUCUC
Molecule: long non-coding RNA, 5103 nt
Organism: Eriocheir sinensis (Chinese mitten crab)
Lineage: Eukaryota; Metazoa; Arthropoda; Malacostraca; Decapoda; Varunidae
Exons: 4
Source: RefSeq, a predicted model, not a curated record